RNAcentral lists this ribosomal RNA (452 nucleotides) under uncultured bacterium. Its description in RNAcentral is "bacterial SSU rRNA". It matches the Rfam family "Bacterial small subunit ribosomal RNA", at positions 8 to 464 of the family's 1533-position model. The record is from RNAcentral.
AGAGUUUGAUCCUGGCUCAGAUUGAACGCUGGCGGAAUGCUUUACACAUGCAAGUCGAGCGGCAGCGCGGGGCAACCUGGCGGCGAGCGGCGAACGGGUGAGUAACAUAUCGGAACGUACCCAGUAAUGGGGGAUAGCUCGGCGAAAGCCGGAUUAAUACCGCAUACGCCCUGAGGGGGAAAGCGGGGGACCGCAAGGCCUCGCGUUAUUGGAGCGGCCGAUAUCGGAUUAGCUAGUUGGUGGGGUAAAGGCCUACCAAGGCGACGAUCCGUAGCUGGUCUGAGAGGACGACCAGCCACACUGGAACUGAGACACGGUCCAGACUCCUACGGGAGGCAGCAGUGGGGAAUUUUGGACAAUGGGGGCAACCCUGAUCCAGCCAUUCCGCGUGAGGGAAGAAGGCCUUCGGGUUGUAAACCUCUUUCGGCAGGAACGAAACGGUGAAGGCUAAU